Small nucleolar RNA from Trifolium pratense (red clover), 142 nucleotides. RefSeq annotates it as small nucleolar RNA snoR127. The record is from RefSeq and is a predicted model, not a curated record. The transcript has a single exon. NCBI's taxonomy places the organism in Eukaryota, Viridiplantae, Streptophyta, Magnoliopsida, Fabales, Fabaceae.
CUGGAAUGAUGCGAUUUAGCCAAAUCAGACAUUAAUGUGCUCCAUGAUGCAAUCCACAUUAUCGGUUUGGAUCGAGCCUCAUGUUGAAGCGCAUUUCUAUGAUGAUAAACAUGGAGAUUGGGUUUUUAUAUUCCUGACCAGA